This 1368-nucleotide long non-coding RNA is filed under the name Numida meleagris (helmeted guineafowl). RNAcentral's name for it is "lncRNA (ENSNMEG00000015772.1)". Lineage: Eukaryota; Metazoa; Chordata; Aves; Galliformes; Numididae. The record is from RNAcentral.
UUCGUUUUGUCCUCUGUAGAAUGUUUUAUAAUAUGAGUUUUCAUUCCUCUACUACAUGACAGUCAAAGUGGGGGAAAAAAAAGAGAUAAAUAUUUAACUAAUGUGUGAGAAUGCUUCUCAAGGUCACCCCAAUUAUUUAUUAUUAGAUUUUUUUUUUCUUGGUUUGCAGCUGUUGCAAGAGAAUUCCUUUCACUCAAGUAUCCCCUGGCUGCAGUUUCCAUCAGAAAAUCUAUUUACUGGAAUUGAAUAUGAAGACUACCAGAAAAUACAUCUUUGGAGGCCUUCAGACUGGGCAAGGACUACCGCGUCACUCCCUUCUUGUUUCUGAGCUAGAAGAACCUCAUCUUGCUUCUGCAGUGCAAAGAGGAGCAGGCAACACAGUAAUAUGCACAGAUCGUUUCCAUCUGAGUUAUUUAGAAUAGAUGAAUUUGAGGCUUCCCUAUUCAUCCUCAGAGGAGUUGUCUAAGGAGUUCAAUAUUCACAGUUAUGUAUUUUUAAGCAAAACACAUAAAUUAAAUCAGUAGCGUACCAGCUGAUGGUUUUUUAUGCCCUGUUCAUAUAAAAGCUCAUUCAACUACUUCUGUUUCAGUCUCUGGGGAGUGCAGGAAGGGAGGUAUUAGUUGGAGAACUGUGCAGAGUUACCACUGAGGAAUCCCUACACAGGUUCUCUAGCAAUAUAAUUUUCAUCUUCUUUCUUCUGCAGACAGCAGCACGGCCACUAGAGAACACAAAAAAAAAAGUUUCUCAAAGCUUAAUAGACUUCUCCUUUCUAAAUCUAGCAGUAACUUGUCCACAGUAAGCCUUUGUACUUGACUAUGGAUCCACAAGUAUGGAUUUAAUCUUAGUCUAGACUUCAUAGUUUUUCGUGAUAGCUGUACUUUUUCUUACAAUUAUAGAAUAUCCUGAGUUGGAAGGGACCCACAAGGACCACUGAGUCCAACUCCUGGCUCCACAAAGGACCACCCAAAAUUCAAACCCUGUGCCUUAGAGUGUUGUCCAAAUGCUCCUUGAACUCUGGCAGCUUGGGGCCAUGACCACUGCCCUGGGGAGUCUGUUCCAUGCCCACUGCCCUCUGGUGAAGAACCUUUUCCUAACACCCACCUGAUCCUCCCCUGAUGCAGCUCCAUCUUUCACACAUUUCAAAAAUCCUACCCUGUACAGCAUCAUAUGGAUUUCAGAACUCAAGAGUCUACAGCUGCUGCUUAGUUUUUUCCUUUCACAUUCUCCAGUCAGGAUUUUCCCUUGCAAUCAGGCAAGGCUGGCAAGUCUAUGAUCAUGAAUAUGGUAUAUAUCCUCCAUUGCACUGUGUCGUUGGAAAUCAUGUACUUGGUAAAUAAAAGGUUUGGGGUAAAGAAGAAUUCUGCUUUG